This 485-nucleotide ribosomal RNA is filed under the name uncultured bacterium. RNAcentral describes it as "partial 16S ribosomal RNA". It matches the Rfam family "Bacterial small subunit ribosomal RNA", at positions 30 to 508 of the family's 1533-position model. The record is from RNAcentral.
AUUGAACGCUGGCGGCAGGCCUAACACAUGCAAGUCGAGCGGAUGAAGGGAGCUUGCUCCUGGAUUCAGCGGCGGACGGGUGAGUAAUGCCUGGGAAUCUGCCUGGUAGUGGGGGAUAACGUCCGGAAACGGGCGCUAAUACCGCAUACGUCCUGAGGGAGAAAGUGGGGGAUCUUCGGACCUCACGCUAUCAGAUGAGCCUAGGUCGGAUUAGCUAGUUGGUGGGGUAAAGGCCUACCAAGGCGACGAUCCGUAACUGGUCUGAGAGGAUGAUCAGUCACACUGGAACUGAGACACGGUCCAGACUCCUACGGGAGGCAGCAGUGGGGAAUAUUGGACAAUGGGCGAAAGCCUGAUCCAGCCAUGCCGCGUGUGUGAAGAAGGUCUUCGGAUUGUAAAGCACUUUAAGUUGGGAGGAAGGGCAGUAAGUUAAUACCUUGCUGUUUUGACGUUACCAACAGAAUAAGCACCGGCUAACUUCGUGC